AACUUCUCAACCAACAUCAUCUGAUGUUGGCUUGGAUGUGGGGGUUGUUUUUGCAGGCUUUUUCUUGUUAGAAGGUCGGCUCCCCUGAAAUGGAUUAGUGGUAUCUGAGGCUACUACUGUGGGUGUGAUAACUAUCUAUGCCUUUGGUAUGCCGCAUGAACAGAUUACACUGCUUCUAACAAAACAAAAUUUGAUAA
RNAcentral lists this unclassified non-coding RNA (197 nucleotides) under Inocybe flocculosa. RNAcentral's name for it is "partial internal transcribed spacer 2". Lineage: Eukaryota; Fungi; Basidiomycota; Agaricomycetes; Agaricales; Inocybaceae. The record is from RNAcentral.